Small nuclear RNA from Sorex araneus (European shrew), 103 nucleotides. The record is from RefSeq and is a predicted model, not a curated record. NCBI's taxonomy places the organism in Eukaryota, Metazoa, Chordata, Mammalia, Eulipotyphla, Soricidae.
GUACUUGCUUCAGCAGCACAUAUACUAAAAUUGGAACGAUACAGAAAAGAUUGGCAUGGCCCCUGUGCAAAGAUGACACGCACCAGAGACACAGCAUCGAGUC